ANAGUUUGAUUAUGGCUCAGAAUGAACGCUGGCGGUAUGCCUUACACAUGCAAGUCGUACGAGAGUUUUUAACUCUAGUGGCGGACGGGUGAGUAACACGUAAGAAUUUGCCUUUAGGAGGGGGACAACAACUGGAAACGGUUGCUAAUACCCCAUAUGCUUUCGAGUGAAAUGGAUUUCCGCCUAAAGAGAAGCUUGCGGCUGAUUAGCUUGUUGGUGAGGUAAUGGCUCACCAAGGCGACGAUCAGUAUCUGGUUUGAGAGGACGAUCAGACACACUGGAACUGAGACACGGUCCAGACUCCUACGGGAGGCAGCAGUGGGGAAUUUUCCGCAAUGGGCGAAAGCCUGACGGAGCAAUACCGCGUGAGGGAUGACGGCCUAUGGGUUGUAAACCUCUUUUUUCAGGGAGGAAUAAAUGACGUGUACCUGAAGAAUAAGCAUCGGCUAACUCCGUGCCAGCAGCCGCGGUAAGACGGAGGAUGCAAGUGUUAUCCGGAAUCACUGGGCGUAAAGCGUCUGUAGGUGGUCUAAUAAGUCAACUGUUAAAUCUUGAGGCUCAACCUCAAAAUCGCAGUCGAAACUAUUAGACUAGAGUAUAGUAGGGGUAAAGGGAAUUUCCAGUGGAGCGGUGAAAUGCGUAGAGAUUGGAAGGAACACCGAUGGCGAAGGCACUUUACUGGGCUAUUACUAACACUCAGAGACGAAAGCUAGGGUAGCAAAUGGGAUUAGAUACCCCAGUAGUCCUAGCUGUAAACAAUGG
Molecule: ribosomal RNA, 762 nt
Filed under: uncultured cyanobacterium
Lineage: Bacteria; Bacillati; Cyanobacteriota
Description: bacterial SSU rRNA
Rfam family: Bacterial small subunit ribosomal RNA
Source: RNAcentral